CGCGCGCGCNCGAGGUGAGUACACGUAUGGAACCUGCCCGCAGCAGGGGGAUAAGCGGAAGAAAUUCCGUCUAAUACCGCGUAACAACGUUGGGAGGCAUCUCCCGAUGUUUAAAGAUUUAUCGGCUGCGGAUGGCCAUGCGGCGCAUUAGCUAGUCGGCGGGGUAACGGCCCACCGAGGCGACGAUGCGUAGGGGUUCUGAGAGGAAGGUCCCCCACACUGGUACUGAGACACGGACCAGACUCCUACGGGAGGCAGCAG
This 261-nucleotide ribosomal RNA is filed under the name uncultured bacterium. RNAcentral describes it as "partial 16S ribosomal RNA". It matches the Rfam family "Bacterial small subunit ribosomal RNA", at positions 92 to 354 of the family's 1533-position model. The record is from RNAcentral.